AAGCUUGCUUCUUGAUUCAGAUUUUGGUGAGUGGCGGACGGGUGAGUAACACGUGGGUAACCUGCCCAAAAGUGGGGGAUAACAUUUGGAAACAAGUGCUAAUACCGCAUAACAACUGCUUUCACAUGAUCGCAGCUUGAAAGAUGGCUCUGCUAUCGCUUUUGGAUGGACCCGCGGCGUAUUAGCUAGUUGGUGAGGUAAUAGCUCACCAAGGCAAUGAUACGUAGCCGACCUGAGAGGGUAAUCGGCCACAUUGGGACUGAGACACGGCCCAAACUCCUACGGGAGGCAGCAGUAGGGAAUCUUCCACAAUGGGCGAAAGCCUGAUGGAGCAAUGCCGCGUGAGUGAAGAAGGUUUUCGGAUCGUAAAACUCUGUUGUUGAAGAAGAACAUGCGUGAGAGUAACUGUUCACGUACUGACGGUAUUCAACCAGAAAGCCACGGCUAACUACGUGCCAGCAGCCGCGGUAAUACGUAGGUGGCAAGCGUUGUCCGGAUUUAUUGGGCGUAAAGAGAA
This 517-nucleotide ribosomal RNA is filed under the name Companilactobacillus farciminis. RNAcentral describes it as "bacterial SSU rRNA". It matches the Rfam family "Bacterial small subunit ribosomal RNA", at positions 64 to 569 of the family's 1533-position model. Lineage: Bacteria; Bacillati; Bacillota; Bacilli; Lactobacillales; Lactobacillaceae. The record is from RNAcentral.